GGGCGCUACUAGCUUAGCUGUUUUGUCUUUCUUGGGUUCCCGAGGACUCUUAAGAAAUCUUUUCAUUUUGCAGCUGCCGGGUAAUGAGCAUAUUAAAAGUUUCAAUGCACUUGCCAAAAAAGCACAGCAGACAGCCUGUUGCAGAUUGGCCAUUAAUGUUUUCACUGCACUAUGGUUGGGUUACUUUUCUCUGUUCUCGGUUGCUCCACAUUCUCUACCUUGAAAGAAAGUGUUAACCUUUCUACACCAAAUACCUCAUUGUUGGAAUAGAAAUGAACAAAACUUGAAUUAAAGAUUCCUCUUUUCCCCUGUCCCCCACUUUUUGAUGAGAAAGGUCCUUUUCGGCAUCCUGUAGAAGGAGAGCUGAAAACAAAACAAAACCACUUGUUUACAUUUUAUUAGGUACUAGCAAUUUACUUCUUUCAAAUUGCCUAAUUUUAUUUUAGCCUUCUAAGCGCAAUCUUUUUGUGACCCACCCACCCCCAAAAAAGUGGGGGACAUAAGUUGGGAGGGCCAAAGUAAGUCUGAAGCCACUUUUGGUCAUUGAUUUCUUUUCAAGGGCUAAAUGAAUAAUCUUCUAAAGGCAGAAACUGGGCUGAGACAUUUGUAGGAAAAUGGACGGGGGAGGUCCAGUGUUCCUUGCAGUGCUGAGAACUAGGAGGCCUUCCCAGAGGUGCAAUGGUUUAAACCAUGGGUGUCCAACCUUGGCAACUUUUAAGACUUGUGGACUUCAACUCCCAGAAUUCCUCAGCCAAUUCUGGGAGUUGAAGUCCACAGGUCUGUAUUCACCCCAAGCCGUGUCUUUGUGGCCUGGAGGAAUGUGGACUCAUUGAGAAAUCCUAGCACAGUUUGUUCUUACAGAAGAGAGAGAAACCCAUCCCCCCCCCUUUCUUUUACUUCUGUGUAUUGAAUUGUAGUUGCUUUUGUAGCAGUUUUUUGGAAUGAAUAUAGCUUGAAUGGUUUAUAAUUUCUACAAGAGGUCUUGAACCAAGGUGAACCUUCCAUGGACCACAGUCCUUAGAGAGCAGAGAUGCUACCUUCUCAGUGUUUAUGUUUUGUUUUUUAAAAAAGCAGGAAUGAAAUUUGAAGGAAGGGACAGAAACUGAGAUACAAUCAGCUUUCUGAGAUAAAUUUUAGAAUAAGGGAAUUUCCUAACCCUACUGUCAGAUGAAUUGGGCUGGCAUCAGUUUUAUUACGUUACCUCCUUAUAUUAGAACUUGUCGUGGGUUUGUGCAGGACUUCUUUUGCUGAACUGAUGAAAAAUAAUCAGGCAGGAUCUUCUUUUUAAUUGCAUUCUUGCCAAAAAAUAAAAUAAAAAAAGGGCAUUCCCUUUCUUACAUUUCAUCCUAAAAAUUGAAGAUAUGACAAUCAAUGUGAUCUUUUUAAGGGCUUCAGUGUACUUAGCUCUGUAGCAUUGCACAUUAUUAUAUUUCUAGUGUUCCAUUUAACUUUUUCCUUUUCCUUAAAAAUGAUGGCAAAGAAAAAAAAUGGAGUGGAAACAAUUCCAGCAGCGCAUAUCUAAAUUAAUAUAUUUUGUCACUUUUUUUAAAACAAAACAAAUGGAGGCAGCAUUUGGGUUGGGUGGGAAGAAAUGUGGCCAGCUCUAUUUUAGUUGCCAGUCUUGUUCUCCUUUAAUGCUGUAACAUGUACAUUUUGACAGCACAGCUUGACAGUUUUAAGUAAUAAUUCAAAUGUCUGGUGGUAAUAACUUGCAUUAUUGUGCUAAGAUGAGAGUUGGUUUUCCCUGGUGCAUUGUAAAAGAGGGCUGGAGGCAAACUUCCUUUUUUACUUCCUGUCUUUUCUCCCACCGCCCCUUCCCUCCAGUAUUCUGCAAGCACAUUUAACUUCCUGGUGUGCAGUAUUUUACACAGGGUUGGGAGAAAACGGGGAGUGGGGGCAGAAGAGGAAUUUGCUUACAGCUUCUUCCUGUUGCCAUCUUAUUUAGGAAUGGCAUAAAAUCUAUUUUAACCGUGCAUCCUUCUUUGCAUCUUAGAAGACCCUGCUCCUAAUAUUUCUGGAUGGUUUUUUUCUUUUCACUUGUCUCAAAAAGCAAUCAUGGGGCUUCCCUUCUUAACCAAUCCAAAUAAGGAAGUUUUUCUCCAAUCACCUUUCUCCGAAGCACUUGCUUUACAAGUUUUAAAAAAAAGCACUUUUGUUUAAAAGCAUGAGGGUCUGAUUACCCCCUUUUAUAAACAACCUAUAGGAGAAAGGCCAGCAAGGGAAUACGGGAUCAAGAAAAGCCUAUUUUCCUUUUUGUCCCUCCCCCCACUUUAAACAAAAAAAAAACAUGUCUGUUGGGAGGGAGGUGGGUGGAGAAUUAUUUUAAUUUACUUCAGGGCUCUAGAGUCAUGGUUCUAGGGUUCAGAGAAUUAGAACAAAGGGAAGUUGUGUUUUAAAAAAUAAACAGCACAAAUACAUUUCAGCUUGACAAGUGUAUUUGCACUGCCAUUGUUAAAUAAAUGGGCCUUCCGCUGGGAGCCCAGCUGAGCCAUAUAACUAUUGACAAACACUGAAUGUAAAUGUCCUUGUAGAGGGCAAGUACUGAGAAGCGAUAAAUUGAUCAUAUAUUCCUAAGUGGGCACUUCAGCAAAUUUAAAAUAAUUUAACCUGAUAAAAUGAUGCUGUUCCUUUUUUCUAAAAAUGACUUUAUUUUGUUUACUUUUCCCCAGGGGUUGCUGGAGCUUAAGAAAACCCAUUUGUAGCAUUGUUAUUGUUCAUUACUUUUACACUCUCUUUGUCCCCUUUCCCCCACCUUUGCCCAAGGAAUUCAUGGGAUAUAGACAUCCCACUCUUAAUAUUUCUAAAGAGCUGUAAUGUAAGAAGUGAAUUAUGAACUUACAGGAUUGGAAUCUGUGUCCCCGAAAGUGAUAUGUAGAUUAGCACCCACAACCCUUGUAUAUCAUCUAGUCUGGUUUCUUGGUUUGGUACAGUGGAUUACCAAAGGGGCCUCUCUCUGGUUAGCUUCUGUACAGGCUAAAGGCGCAAGAGACUUCAAAUCUCCUUUAGGGUUAAUGCUCACUUUGUAUUGAGAGCUAGAUCCAAACAUUUUGGCUUCCUUCUGAUAGGAAUGUGAUAGUUGAUCCAAGGACAUGCCAGAAUACCUUGCAGGUAGGCAAAUUGGAGUGGAAAAAUUCCUCCUAAAGAUAGGAAUUUUUAAACUCCAGCCAGUAUAAGGUAUUCUGGCACAGCUAUGAACCUUAAUGUGAGCAAUCUUUUUUUUUUUAAAAAAAAUCAGUUAUUAAAAUAAAUAUCCAAGCACGUAAUCUUCCCUUCUCUUCUUGUUGAGUCUUGGAAAGUAUAUUCAUAAUAUCCCAUAUUUAACUCUCCUCAUUACUCAUGUAUUUUUCCUCAGAAACAUUUCCAUGUCAAAUUGUGGUGCAAUUCCGUUCUGAUUAGCUAUUCGCCCAAUAGUGCCAAAGAGAUGACAAGAUUAGGAAAGGUGGUGGAGAGAGAUUCUGUGAUCUUUCAUAGCGUACUUGGCUUUUUAAAAACAAAUUAUUUAAGCUCUAAACUCAGUUCAGCUUGGCCUUGAGCAUAUUUUUUAUGUGCAGGAAAAUGGUGGGAGAGGGAGAGGAACCACCAUCUGUAUUGGAAUUGUAAAUGUGAAAACUUUGAAUUGUUUCAUUACUAUAAAACCUUCUUUUGGUGGAUUUUUUUUUAAAUGGGUGCUUCAGUAUCAAGCAUGUAGCAUUUGAGGGGAAAAAAUGUGACUUCAGCAUCGCUUAACUCCUACAAAGUCAAUGUUAAAGAAGAGAUGGAGAUAUAUAGAUUAUUUUUUUCCCCACUGAAAGCAAGGAGGAAUGUUAAUUGCAGGUGGGAUUCUGUGAAUUUUGAAGCAACUAUUUCAUUUGAAUCAUGAAUUUGGGGGAACAAAGAAAAAGCUGUUAAUGUUACAAAUAGGUAGAAAAUAUUUUGGGUUGGGAGGGGGAUAGAUCUCUUAAGUCUCCCGUAAGGCAUCUGUAGCAAGUUCUUAGUGUCUUUCUUUCAGUGAUCUAUGUGUAAAUGCUGCACCAAUGUAUAUUAUGCACAUAAAAACAUUUCUUUGAAUAAGAUAGGACAGACCUCAUCUCCAGUCAGGUAUAAACUAUUCUUCCUCUUUUGUGUGUUGGUUUUUCUCUGUGUGUGGAUGUGUGUGUGUGUGUGUGUGUGUGUGUGUGUGUGUGUGUGUGUGUGUUAGUGUUAUAAUGGGUGAGUGAAGAUGGGAGUAUUGUUCAAACGGUAAUACUUUGGUUUUAGGGGUGAAUGAUGGGUUAUUGGAGCAAGAAUGGAAGUGCUGCCUAUAAAGCAUCGCCCUUCUCCAUUGCUUGUACCUUUGGAACCAUAAUGAUUGUGGGGAAGUUUAACUUUGCCCCCUUAUCUUGCUAGUUUUGGAAAGCUUGGACCAAUGUUUAGAAGAGAUUAUUAAAAAAAAAAAAAGCAUUUAAAUCAGCUCACAGGCCUGCCUUCUUACUUGCAGACACAUGAUCUUCCUUCAAACACUGGUUUAAAGCACAAAUAUAUAUAUAUACAUGCCCAAAUGCUCACUCUGGGUGUUUCAGAAGGGAGUUGUUUGGUUACGGGGCAGGAGUGGCCAAGAUCUGUUCACAUUCCCCAAAGUCUGCUUUUAAGCCUAAUGCAAAGGAAGUUCCUGAUACGCAAUCAGAGUGUUGCUCUUUUGAGACUGAUUGGCAAUCUCCCUUAUGGAUCUCCUUGCCCUCAUUGUUUUCACUAGAAGCAGUCUCUUUUCAGUUUUUUUUUAAUACUACAAAGUAAUUAUGUUUCCCUCAAGAGUUUUAUUCUUAGAAAGGCAGACCUGUCAAACCAACUAUCAACUAUUCUUCCUUUUUCUUACCCCACCCCGACCCCAGCCUGGUUGUUCCAUGAAAUGAAAACAUUAUGUUAAGAGAUCUUAUGUAAAAAAAAAUCAUAUUGAAAUAACAAUGCAGUGAGGUAUCACAAGCCAUCCAUCCCCCUUUCUACACAUCUCAGUCUUGCGCACAGUGUGGAAGCCACUUUGUAUAAGCCCUUUACAUGAAUUCAGUGAAUGGUUAACCUUUUUUUUUUGUCUCAGAUGAUAUAUAUGCAUUUUCAAAAUUUCUGCAUUACCUUGGGGGGAGGGAGGUUGGGGAAAAGGGGUUAACAGGAACUUAAAACUAAAAUUAAAAAAAAAAAAACACAAAGCAUUCAGACUUGAUCUAUUUUUUACAAUGUAUGCUGCGACCAGGUCCUGUUAUUCAUAUUGUGGCUUUGAAUCAAUUAUGUUGAUUAAAAUGCUGUUGCUUCUA
Molecule: non-coding RNA, 5264 nt
Organism: Pseudonaja textilis
Lineage: Eukaryota; Metazoa; Chordata; Lepidosauria; Squamata; Elapidae
Source: RefSeq, a predicted model, not a curated record